AGCCCCAAAGAGGAAUGUUUUAGUCCUAACUGAGCUGAUUCCACUAUGCAAUAUGAUACCAAUCAUUUAUAUUCAGUAAUAAUUAAGGAAUCUUGCAUUUGAUCUUUUUUCCACGGCCCUGUUUUGAUUUUGGCAUCUUUAAUAUUUGAAUACUCUAGCAUAUUCGUGAGUAAGUCCCAAGAAACUGUUCAAACAGCAAUGUCUUUAGGUCAGCAGAAAUUCAAGGGAGAAAUUUGGUUUCACUGUGCAACUAUGAGAGCUUUUGUGACAUGCAUUUCUCUGCAAACUAUUGAAAAUCCCACGCAGUUUUUCACCAAUUUUCACUGAUUCUAGAAUAGAUUGCAUGGGCCCAACUGUGAGGGUCUAUGUGUCUCUCUAAGUGAGAAUUAAUGGGGUAAAAGACGCUUGAAAAAAAAAAGGCAGAUUUUAAAAACUUUGUUGUUGCUGCUCUAAGUUACUCAUCCAUUUUCAUCUUCAGAUGUCCUGUGUGAAUACCUUCUAGGGGAUGGAUUCUCCUGCUGCUUUUGAGAAUGGACAAUGAAUACUUUAUAGAAACAUGAACUUCAAACAUUCAGAGUUCAGUCUUCAUUGCUGGAGUGCCAUUUUGCUUUUCUAUUCACACAGGGCUUUUGUUUUCCCUAAUUCUCAUUUGUGAUGAUAUACUGGGACCAUUAGCUAGAAGCCACACCACUUCAUUAUUUCACAGAACUUUAGGCAAUUGUGAUGACUUUUUUCAAAUCAGCAUUAUUCUGCAAAGUAAAAUAAGACAGAGAAAUGCAAUUGACUAUUUCCCCAGCAUUUCUGAAGAAGAAAUAAACCUGCUUAAAAAUCAAUGAAGGUUACAAUUUCAGAAAUAUUUUUAGAUGUAUUUUUUUUGAAACUGUAUUUCUUUUUGCACAAUUCAUCUUCAUUUUUUGGAGCUACUUAAUAUCCUUGAACUGCGUUUAACUUCCCUGGGAAACUAUAAAGAGUGGGUUGAAAUCUGUAAUUGUAUUAAAGCUGUGGUCCCACUAACAAUAGCUGUUCCACAAAUGCUGGCAAAUGCCUUGUCAUAAGAAUAUAAAAGCAAAGACAACGUGAGUCUUUUUUGUUUUCCUCUGCUCACUUUUUAGUAGUACUGAAACUGAAGCAGAAGCUCAAGGAUUUGGGGGGGAAAGAUAGCCCAGAGAAUUGUCAGUAGGCAAGAUCACAAGCAGCCACAAUCAGCCCCUUGUGUGCAUAUUUCAGUAUCCUAUCUCAGCGUCCUUGAGGAACCAUCACGAUGCCCAGCCUACUGUAGGCAUGCCUGAUAUCUUGCCUAUCCACACAUUAAGAUUUCUCCCUUAUAUCUCACAGUGAAAAAUUUUAAUUCUAUACUAGAUGAUCAGUAUUUUAUUUGAUCAAAUACACCCUUAUCACUGUUCUGUUUUCUAAUUAGUGAAUGACAUAUUAGUAAUGUUAUAGGAACUUUAUGGAAGCAACAUUUUAAUUCCAAGGAGGGUCUCCAGGGCUUCAAAUCUCAAAAGGAGCUCUGUGCAUAAACAUUUCUGUUCAGGUAGGAUGUUCAGUAAUACUUAAGUCUCCCAGAUAAUGGCAUUUUUUGGUCACGUGCAGAUGGCCCCUCGAGAUGACUGAAAGGUCGUACGAAGUAACAGUAUAAUUUUCAAAUAAAGACUGGACCUGUGCAGUUGUUGUCUUUCA
Oryctolagus cuniculus (rabbit) is the source of this 1680-nucleotide long non-coding RNA. NCBI's taxonomy places the organism in Eukaryota, Metazoa, Chordata, Mammalia, Lagomorpha, Leporidae. The record is from Ensembl.